GGCUCCUACGGGGCGCAGCAGUGGGGAAUAUUGCACAAUGGGGGAAACCCUGAUGCAGCGACGCCGCGUGAGCGAAGAAGUAUUUCGGUAUGUAAAGCUCUAUCAGCAGGGAAGAAAAAUGACGGUACCUGAGUAAGAAGCAUCGGCUAACUCCGUGCCAGCAGCCGCGGUAAUACGGAGGAUGCGAGCGUUAUCCGGAUUUAUUGGGUUUAAAGGGUGCGCAGGCGGUCUGUUAAGUCAGCGGUCAAAGCCCGGGGCUCAACCCCGGCCCGCCGUUGAAACCGGCA
This 287-nucleotide ribosomal RNA is filed under the name uncultured bacterium. Its description in RNAcentral is "partial 16S ribosomal RNA". It matches the Rfam family "Bacterial small subunit ribosomal RNA", at positions 334 to 638 of the family's 1533-position model. The record is from RNAcentral.